UUUUUAAGCUACUUUUAAAUCUCAAUAGCAAAACUAACUAUUCGUCUGUAAUGCAGUUAAUUCGGUCAACAGUGAGUUGAGAACCUUCAUGUGAGAGGAUUUUUCGCAAAAAGUGAGGCCAAAACUUUUUAACACAAACUUGGUCCUACAAGCACUAUAAUUUGCUGACAAACAACCUGAUCUGUGUAAUGGUCAAUGAUAUGGCUGGGAUGAAUUCAUUCAAUGAUAAUUUGUGGAUGUUGCCGCAAUUACAUUGGUAUAAAAGUAGGUUCAGUGCUUUAAAUGCCUCCAGGUCGCUAGAAUUCGGAAGCAGUUUUUUCAAAUGGCCUCUGUUUUAAAAAACAUCAAAGGAACGUGCGAAAAUUUGACAAGGUUUCUUCCUAAUAAAAGGAGAUCUCUGAGGACAGCAGUCACUAGUGGACGAAAGCUGCACGAAGGCAGCGAAUGGAAGGGUCAUGCCACAUGGGAAUUAUGAAAAUAUUCAGCUCGCAGUGAUUGGCAACCUGCAACAGCAGCUCGAAGCAAAAGGCACCCCAUUCCAGGAGAGCACCGAUCUUACAGCCAGACACUUUACCCCUAGCAGCAAAACCUUGAAUGAGACCUGCGUGCAUUUCUUCAAACGACUCUUUAUACAAUUCAACAUUCUCCAAAUCUCAAGCUCAAAUGCAGGUCCGAAAUCUCCACUCAGAUGGAGGAUAAAUUGUUCAACCCAUCCAAAUGCUUGCAAAUGUUUUGAUAAAAAUUUACUUCAACCAGGACAAGCACAUCCUCUCGCAGCUCCAUGUUGCAGAGCAAUUCCCCUGAUUUGUUUCAAGUAACAGCCAGCUCCUGGUACUCUCUCAAAAACGUGAUCGUAUCAUUAUUUCGAUCGCUCAAAUCUGCAGUGAUCUGAUAACAGGCAUUCAAUACUCUUAAAUAUAACCAAGGCUGAAAUCCGGCUCUUAGCCGAACCUCACAACCAGUUUGGGUUUUUUGCAAACCAAACUGGAUAAUGAACCGAACCACUCUCUCAAAGAAAAUAAUUAAAUACAUUUUUUGAAUUUCUGAUUAAAAGUCAUAUAAAUACAUUUUUUGAAUUUCUUA
Drosophila innubila is the source of this 1083-nucleotide long non-coding RNA. RefSeq lists it as uncharacterized. The record is from RefSeq and is a predicted model, not a curated record. NCBI's taxonomy places the organism in Eukaryota, Metazoa, Arthropoda, Insecta, Diptera, Drosophilidae. The transcript has 3 exons.